RNAcentral lists this non-coding RNA (160 nucleotides) under Ixodes scapularis (black-legged tick). Its description in RNAcentral is "Eukaryotic large subunit ribosomal RNA". It matches the Rfam family "Eukaryotic large subunit ribosomal RNA", at positions 2825 to 2984 of the family's 3401-position model. Lineage: Eukaryota; Metazoa; Arthropoda; Arachnida; Ixodida; Ixodidae. The record is from Rfam by way of RNAcentral.
GAUAACUGGCUUGUGGCGGCCAAGCGUUCAGAGCGACAUCGCUUUUUGAUCCUUCGAUGUCGGCUCUUCGUACCAUUGGAAAGCAGAAUUCGCUAAACGUUGGAUUGUUCUCCCACUAAUAGGGAACGGAAGCUUGUCUUAGGCCGUCGUGAGACAGGUU